RNAcentral lists this transfer RNA (74 nucleotides) under Roseibium sp. TrichSKD4. It matches the Rfam family "tRNA". Rfam says of the family: Transfer RNA (tRNA) molecules are approximately 80 nucleotides in length. Their secondary structure includes four short double-helical elements and three loops (D, anti-codon, and T loops). Further hydrogen bonds mediate the characteristic L-shaped molecular structure. tRNAs have two regions of fundamental functional importance: the anti-codon, which is responsible for specific mRNA codon recognition, and the 3' end, to which the tRNAs corresponding amino acid is attached (by aminoacyl-tRNA synthetases). tRNAs cope with the degeneracy of the genetic code in two manners: having more than one tRNA (with a specific anti-codon) for a particular amino acid; and 'wobble' base-pairing, i.e. permitting non-standard base-pairing at the 3rd anti-codon position. The record is from Rfam by way of RNAcentral. Lineage: Bacteria; Pseudomonadati; Pseudomonadota; Alphaproteobacteria; Hyphomicrobiales; Stappiaceae.
GGCAGGAUGGCGCAGUCCGGUAGCGCGCUUGGCUCAUAACCAAGAGACCGCAGGUUCAAAUCCUGCUCCCGCAA